UGCACGGUGGUGCAGUGGGUAGCACUGUUUCCUUGCAGCAAUUAGGUCCUGGAUUUGACCCCCAGCUGGGGGUCUUUCUGCAU
Molecule: non-coding RNA, 83 nt
Organism: Ataeniobius toweri
Lineage: Eukaryota; Metazoa; Chordata; Actinopteri; Cyprinodontiformes; Goodeidae
Source: the annotation of a GenBank genome assembly